UAUCUCGUUGUUUCUUCCUCAGCUGAGUCUUUUGUAGACAUUUCAGUCUGAGUCCGGAUUUUUAUCCGAAGUAUCCUUUGCGGAUAGUUUUACUGUAUUGGCAUAUUCCCUAAUACAUGCAUCCUUGUGUCAGCGAGUCUUUCCAUCGAUUUAUUUUUGUGGAAUCCUCUCGUAUCUCCCAGCAAGUUCUCAAGUCGUGACCUGCUCACGCAUUUUUACCCUAUUUUCCCCAGAGUCUCUGUCUCCCUAGUGAGUGUGUUACUCCUACGGAUUUUUC
Molecule: long non-coding RNA, 277 nt
Filed under: Lathyrus oleraceus (garden pea)
Lineage: Eukaryota; Viridiplantae; Streptophyta; Magnoliopsida; Fabales; Fabaceae
Description: Pisum sativum (pea) long non-coding RNA (PSAT_LNC026100)
Source: RNAcentral